GCGACCCCAGGAUGGGCAGAGCCACCCGCCG
Molecule: ribosomal RNA, 31 nt
Filed under: Cuitlauzina egertonii
Lineage: Eukaryota; Viridiplantae; Streptophyta; Magnoliopsida; Asparagales; Orchidaceae
Description: partial 26S ribosomal RNA
Source: RNAcentral